RNAcentral lists this ribosomal RNA (274 nucleotides) under uncultured bacterium. RNAcentral describes it as "partial 16S ribosomal RNA". It matches the Rfam family "Bacterial small subunit ribosomal RNA", at positions 523 to 796 of the family's 1533-position model. The record is from RNAcentral.
AUACGGAGGGUCCGAGCGUUAUCCGGAAUCAUUGGGUUUAAAGGGUCCGUAGGCGGGAAUCUAAGUCAGUGGUGAAAUCUUGCAGCUCAACUGUAAAAUUGCCAUUGAUACUGGAUUUCUUGAAUUAGUGUGAAGUGGUUAGAAUGUGUAGUGUAGCGGUGAAAUGCAUAGAUAUUACACAGAAUACCAAUUGCGAAGGUAGAUCACUAACACUAUAUUGACGCUAAGGGACGAAAGCGUGGGGAGCGAACAGGAUUAGAUACCCCAGUAGUCC